Phoenix dactylifera (date palm) is the source of this 908-nucleotide non-coding RNA. NCBI's taxonomy places the organism in Eukaryota, Viridiplantae, Streptophyta, Magnoliopsida, Arecales, Arecaceae. The record is from RefSeq and is a predicted model, not a curated record.
GAACAACCGGCCCAUGGGCCGCCAAAUUGCAUACCUUUGGUUGGCGCUGGCUUCCUCGGCAUCCGCAUCUUAUCGUAUGCACCCGAAAACCUCGACGGACGGCACCCGGCAAGGAAGCUCGCUCUCUCACAGCUGAACCGCUUCCGGCGCACAUACGGAUUUCAACCUCAUUCCAUUAGCCCAACCUAUCCGCUGUUCGGCUCAGAAAUUCCUCCAGUUUUUAUUCCACCGGCCCCCAAAUCGGAUUUUUUUCAGGUUUAAUGGAGAAGGAUUAUUUACAAACUCAAAGUUAUGCUGCUGAUAUUUCCUCCAUAAAAGAAGCACAACUCCGUAUUGGUCCAUACAUUCACAAAACUCCAGUUCUCUCAUCAAAAUCUCUUGAUUUCAUAUCUGGGAGACAAUUGUUUUUCAAGUGUGAGUGUUUUCAGAAGGGUUCUUUAACAACAGAGAGCAACAAACAACGCUAACCGAUGAAGCAGCCAUUGCAGCACCAGCAAUCCAUGGUGGCAAGCGGAAUCUAGAAGAAGGGAAAAGAACCCCGGCAGCAAUAGGUAUGCCCAUGAUGUUGUAACCAAGAGCCCAGAUGUAGUUCAUGUGGAUCCGGGAGAAAGUUUUCCUCGAGAGAUCAAUUGCAGUUAUUACAUCCUCCAAGUUGCUCUUCAUAAGGACUAUGUCAGCAGCUUCAAUAGCAAUAUCCGUACCAGCACCUAUGGCCAUCCCAACAUCAGCAGAAACAAGUGCCGGUGAGUCAUUGAUUCCAUCGCCAACCAUGGCCACUGUCAAGCCAGACGUCUGCGAUUAACAUCAGCAUGAUAUUAGUAGAAUAUUUGUAAAAUGAUGACUUUGACACAAAACCAAGUCAAGAGUUAUCAGAUUUCUAACAGUUGGAUGUCUGUUUGUCUGUCUGC